Molecule: long non-coding RNA, 309 nt
Organism: Maniola jurtina (meadow brown)
Lineage: Eukaryota; Metazoa; Arthropoda; Insecta; Lepidoptera; Nymphalidae
Exons: 2
Source: RefSeq, a predicted model, not a curated record
ACGCAAAUUGCACGCAAAAAGAUUUGUUACAAUUAUUUCGCAGCGAGCACUCAUAGCAAGAUGUUUGAAAAAUUGAUAUUUGUAAUACUUUUAUUUUUCUUGGUCAGCAGCAUGACAAAAGCAGAAAACGAUACAAAUACAUUUGGAUUUCAAAGAAUCAUGGAUACGACGAAAAAUUAUCUGUCCAAAGUUUUCUCAUUUAACGUGCGCUGAAAAAUGCUAUAACGGAUCAAAAUAAAUGAAAAAUAAAAAUAUGGAUUUUUUUCACGUAAUAUUUAUAAGAAUAAAUAUGUAAUUCUCAUCAAAAUA